GCCUUGUAAACAACAAUCAAUUUCAUGUAGGUGUCCACACAAAGUGGUUGUGAGUCAUGGUUAAGUGAUUGUGACAUGUCUGAAAGGCAAACUUAUGUCACAGGAAAGAAGAGCUCUCUGGAUAGAUGGUUCCCUACAGUUUUGUAAAGACAUCUGGAAACUUUGAUCUGGGAGACACCACAUCACAGAGAAAUUGUUAUCGUCUGAGAGCACACUGAGGCUUUGCUCUUCAGAGAUCUUCAAAUUUUACAUAGGUCAAUCCAAACACCUUCAGAAGUCAAGACAUUGACAUGAAAGUGCUCAACAGCCAGAUGUCAUUCAAUAAAGAGGGGUGUAAAUGAAGUAACAGGAAGAGCACAUAUUUGGCCUGAAGAUACAAAUCCAAAAAAUUUUUAAAAAAUGACUCUACGAGCCGGGCACGGUGGCUCACGCCUAUAAUCCUAGCACUUUGGGAGGCUGAGGUGGGUGGAUCACGAGGUCAGGAAUUCAAGACCAUCCUGACCAGCAUGGUGAAACCCUGUCUCUACUAAAAAUACAAAAAUUAGCUGGGCGUGGUGGCGUGUACCUGUAAUUCCAGCUACUCAGGAGGCUGAGGUAGGAGAAUCCCUUGAACCUGGGAGGUAGAGGUUGCAGUGAGUGGAGAUCAAGCCACUGCACUCCAGCCUGGGCAACAGAACAAGACUCCUUCACAAACAAACAAACAAACAAACAAACAAACAAACAAACAGAUUAUAUGGAUAUACCUCCUCAAACUUAGCUGUGUUGACUGAGUGAAUUUGGC
This is a long non-coding RNA of Pan troglodytes (chimpanzee), 781 nucleotides long. The record is from Ensembl. Lineage: Eukaryota; Metazoa; Chordata; Mammalia; Primates; Hominidae.